Myotis brandtii (Brandt's bat) is the source of this 951-nucleotide long non-coding RNA. RefSeq lists it as uncharacterized. NCBI's taxonomy places the organism in Eukaryota, Metazoa, Chordata, Mammalia, Chiroptera, Vespertilionidae. The record is from RefSeq and is a predicted model, not a curated record. The transcript is spliced from 2 exons.
AAGGAGGCCCGGGGAGCUGGGGGCGGGUGUCGUGUGCCGGAGACUUGAAAGCGGCGGUCCGCUUCUGGGCCACGUGUUCUGAAAGUUUUGUGGACCAGACGUUCUGCGCAGGGUGCACAUUCCGCAGUCCUGCGGGGGAGUUGAAAGGGGGACGGCCCCACCUUGAAUGUCUUAGAAAAAUGUAAAAAAAAAGUGUGGGGGAAAGGUCAUGUUGUGACGGUGAGUGAAGAAAGUGGACGAUCCCACCUUGAAUGUCUUUGAAAAAUGUUUUUAAAAUGUGGGGGAAAGGUCAUGUUGUGACGGUGAGUGAAGAAAGUGGCCGACCCCACCUUGAAUGUCUUUGAAAAAUGUGAAAAAAUGUGGGGGAAAGGUCAUGUUGUGACGACAUGCACAAAGAUGCAGCGCCAGACCACUCGAGCACAGUAUCACAACCAGAAUGCUGACAUUGACACAAUGCACCUGUCUUACUCAGAUUUCCCCGUCUGGGUAUUUACGUGUGUGCAUAUUUAGUUCCAUACAGUUUUAUCACACAUGUCAGUUUGAUCACCAAAGUGAAGAGAAGGCACUGAACACGUAAAUCACAAGGAUCCCCCCUGUUGGGCUUUUAAAGCCACACCCACUUCCCUCCCCUCCCCACCUCCUUCACCAAGUCCCUAACCCCUGGUGAUUGCUAAUCUGUUCUCAGUUUCUAAAAUUUUGUCAUUUCAAAAUGUUUUGUGAGUGGAAUAAUAUAGCGUGUAACUUUUUGGGAUUGACUCCCCCCCCCCCCUCAGGAUAAUUCUCUGGAGGUUUAUUCAAGUUGUUGUAUCAAUAAUUUGUUUCUUUUUAUUGCUGAGCAGUUUUCCAUAGUAUGGAUGUGCCCAGGUUUGUCUAACCUUUCACCCAUAGAAGUACUUCUGGGCUGUUUCCAGUUGAGGGCUAUUACAAAUAAAGCUGAUAUGAACAUUCAUA